Molecule: transfer RNA, 74 nt
Filed under: Ixodes scapularis (black-legged tick)
Lineage: Eukaryota; Metazoa; Arthropoda; Arachnida; Ixodida; Ixodidae
Description: tRNA-Thr for anticodon GGU
Source: RNAcentral
GCCAGGAUGGUCUAAUCGGUUAAGGCGUCGCCCCGGUCAGGCGAAGGUUGCGGGUUCAUUCCCCGCUCCUGGCC